AUUGAACGCUGGCGGCAUGCCUUACACAUGCAAGUCGAACGGCAGCACGGGAGCAAUCCUGGUGGCGAGUGGCGAACGGGUGAGUAAAGUAUCGGAACGUGCCCAGUCGUGGGGGAUAACGUAGCGAAAGUUACGCUAAUACCGCAUACGAUCUAUGGGUGAAAGCGGGGGAUCGCAAGACCUCGCGCGAUUGGAGCGGCCGAUAUCAGAUUAGGUAGUUGGUGGGGUAAAGGCUCACCAAGCCGACGAUCUGUAGCUGGUCUGAGAGGACGACCAGCCACACUGGGACUGAGACACGGCCCAGACUCCUACGGGAGGCAGCAGUGGGGAAUUUUGGACAAUGGGCGAAAGCCUGAUCCAGCCAUGCCGCGUGCAGGAUGAAGGCCUUCGGGUUGUAAACUGCUUUUGUACGGAACGAAAAGGUUUGGCCUAAUAAGCUGAGCCCAUGACGGUACCGUAAGAAUAAGCACCGGCUAACUACGUGCCAGCAGCCGCCGUAA
This 500-nucleotide ribosomal RNA is filed under the name uncultured bacterium. RNAcentral describes it as "partial 16S ribosomal RNA". It matches the Rfam family "Bacterial small subunit ribosomal RNA", at positions 30 to 523 of the family's 1533-position model. The record is from RNAcentral.